GAUCAACGCUGGCGGCGUGCAUAAUACAUGCAAGUCGAACGAUCAAAAGUAAAACUUUUCUUCCGAAUGAACUUAAUUGGCUUAUUGGUGAACCGUUGAGUAACUCCUUAUUAACCUGCCUUGUACAAGGGGAUAGCCGUUUGAAACGACGAAUAAUAUCCUAUGACAUCAAAUAAUCUCAAGAUAAUUUGAUCAAAGAUCUAUCGGUAUAAGGUGGACUAACUUCUGAUUAAGUAGUUGAUAGAGUAAAAGCCUACCAAGGCAAUGAUCAGUAGGCGGCUUGAGAGAGUGUCCGGACACAUUGGGAAUGCGACACGGCCCAAACUCCUGCGAGGGGCGGAAGUGGGGAAUUGUGAACAAGGGGGGAAACCGAGAGGCAGCGAGGCGGAAAAAUUUAGAAGGAGUGAGGGUUGUAAAAAUCUUUUGUAUGGGAAGAAAAUGACGGUACCAUACGAAUAAGGACCGGCUAAUUACGU
Molecule: ribosomal RNA, 476 nt
Filed under: uncultured bacterium
Lineage: Bacteria
Description: partial 16S ribosomal RNA
Rfam family: Bacterial small subunit ribosomal RNA
Source: RNAcentral